This 95-nucleotide signal recognition particle RNA is filed under the name Saprospiraceae bacterium. Its description in RNAcentral is "signal recognition particle sRNA small type". It matches the Rfam family "Bacterial small signal recognition particle RNA". From Rfam's summary of the family: The signal recognition particle (SRP) is a universally conserved ribonucleoprotein involved in the co-translational targeting of proteins to membranes. Archaeal SRP consists of a 7S RNA and homologues of the eukaryotic SRP19 and SRP54 proteins. In most bacteria, the SRP consists of a 4.5S RNA and the Ffh protein (a homologue of the eukaryotic SRP54 protein). Lineage: Bacteria; Pseudomonadati; Bacteroidota; Saprospiria; Saprospirales; Saprospiraceae. The record is from RNAcentral.
CCGCGAGGAUACAGCAUCAGCUCCUUCCGAACCCCCCCAGGGUAGAAAUACAGCAAGGGUAGAAAGUUGAGCGAUGGUUGUGUCUCUCGCAUUUU